RNAcentral lists this unclassified non-coding RNA (345 nucleotides) under soil metagenome. RNAcentral's name for it is "partial contains 5.8S ribosomal RNA, internal transcribed spacer 2, and large subunit ribosomal RNA". The stretch from base 1 to 120 matches the Rfam family "5.8S ribosomal RNA", at positions 35 to 154 of the family's 154-position model. The record is from RNAcentral.
GAUGAAGAACGCAGCGAAAUGCGAUACGUAAUGUGAAUUGCAGAAUUCAGUGAAUCAUCGAGUCUUUGAACGCACAUUGCGCCCCCUGGUAUUCCGGGGGGCAUGCCUGUCCGAGCGUCAUUGCUGCCCUCAAGCACGGCUUGAGUGUUGGGCCUCCGUCCUCCUCCCGGGGGACGGGCCCGAAAGGCAGCGGCGGCACCGCGUCCGGUCCUCGAGCGUAUGGGGCUUCGUCACCCGCUCUUGUAGGCCCGGCCGGCGCUUGCCGACACAUCAAUCUUUUUUCCAGGUUGACCUCGGAUCAGGUAGGGAUACCCGCUGAACUUAAGCAUAUCAAUAAGCGGAGGA